GACGAACGCUGGCGGCGUGCUUAACACAUGCAAGUCGAACGGAAAGGCCCUGCUUGCAGGGUACUCGAGUGGCGAACGGGUGAGUAACACGUGGGUGAUCUGCCCUGCACUUCGGGAUAAGCCUGGGAAACUGGGUCUAAUACCGGAUAGGAGCCAUUUUUAGUGUGAUGGUUGGAAAGUUUUUUCGGUGUAGGAUGAGCUCGCGGCCUAUCAGCUUGUUGGUGGGGUAAUGGCCUACCAAGGCGGCGACGGGUAGCCGGCCUGAGAGGGUGGACGGCCACAUUGGGACUGAGAUACGGCCCAGACUCCUACGGGAGGCAGCAGGGGGGAAUAUUGCACAAUGGGGGCAAGCCUGAUGCGGCGACGCCGCGUGGGGGAUGACGGCCUUCGGGUUGGAAACUCCUUUCGCUAGGGACGAAGCUGUUUGUGACGGUACCUAGAGAAGAAGCACCGGCUAACUACGUG
This 465-nucleotide ribosomal RNA is filed under the name uncultured bacterium. RNAcentral's name for it is "partial 16S ribosomal RNA". It matches the Rfam family "Bacterial small subunit ribosomal RNA", at positions 28 to 507 of the family's 1533-position model. The record is from RNAcentral.